Non-coding RNA from Oncorhynchus mykiss (rainbow trout), 4817 nucleotides. NCBI's taxonomy places the organism in Eukaryota, Metazoa, Chordata, Actinopteri, Salmoniformes, Salmonidae. The record is from RefSeq and is a predicted model, not a curated record.
GAAUAAAGUAGACGGCACGCGUCAAAAUGAUUGAUUGAUGACCUUACGUCAUUUUGACCUUUGCGUGUCCGAAUAUGUGCCCCCUCCCCGUCCCCCCUGUUCCCGUGGUCACGUGUUAUUUUGUGUUAUUUCAGAUCUCUAUGUCAUCCUUUGAAGUAGUCCAGUUGAUGGAUGUCUAGGGGCCUGGUUGAACUGUGGUUGUUGUGUUUGAACUUUUGGACCGGGUAUGACCCCCCCAGUUUUAUUGCCCUUAUGUUUGUUAUCUAUGGAGCAGGAAUGUGUGUCUGUAUGUGUGUGUGUGUGUUAGAAACAAGGUCCCUUGGCAUUGUGUCCAUUUCAGGCUUUAAACAACAAUUAAACAGCCAUCUAAAUAAUGUUUCUCAGCCUAGUUUCCUAUUUAGUUCUCUUUAUAUGUACAGGCACAGAGCUUCAAGAUGGCUCCAGCCUAAGGAUUUUCAGUGCAUGUACACCUGGGGAGAUUAGAACCCCAAAGAAAAGAUCCUAAAGGUAAUUUCAGGUUUAUCAUGACAGCCACUUUAUGAAAGGCCUUUACUUAUGGCUAAACAGCUUCUGCACAGCUUAUUAAUUAAGGCUGUGGGAUGAAAUGAGGUGUUUCUAGGAGGGCUUAAACAAAUCUACAGUGAAACAAACAUGUACACUUUACACACAUAUUUAUUGACUUUUAAAAAUACCACAGUAACAUGACAGAAUUUGUGCAAACGCAACGAAAUCUGCUAGGGGAUAUUAAAUGUACAACAGUAGUAUUCUGUAACAAGCAAUACGUGUUAAACAUGUGGCACAGGCAAUCAUGACAGCCUCUUUAUGAAAGGCCUUUAAUUAUGUGUUUCUAGGAGGGCUUAAACAAAUCUACAGUGAAACAAACAUAUACACUUUACACACAUAUUUACUGACAUUUAAAAAGACCACAGUAACAUGACCGAAUUUGUGCAAAUGCGACGAAAUCUGCUAGUGGAUAUUAAAUGUACAACAGUAGUAUUAGGUAACAAGCAAUACGUGUUAAACAUGUGGCACAGGCAAUCAUGACAGCCUCUUUAUGAAAGGCCUUUAAUUAGGUGUUUCUAGGAGGGCUUAAACAAAUCUACAGUGAAACAAACAUAUACACUUUACACACAUAUUUACUGACAUUUAAAAAGACCACAGUAACAUGACCGAAUUUGUGCAAAUGCGACGAAAUCUGCUAGUGGAUAUUAAAUGUACAACAGUAGUAUUAGGUAACAAGCAAUACGUGUGGCACAGGCAAUCAUGACAGACUCUUUAUGAAAGGCCUUUAACUAUGGCUAAACAGUUUUCUACACAUCUUAUUCAUUAAUGAUGUGGGCAUACCCAGGAUUUACAGGCAGGAACGGUUGAUCUACACAUGGAGGGAAAACUUACGGAGUUUUGAUGGAGCGGACAAGCGUCUUUGAGUUGAUGAAUUUGAAAUGGAUAAUGGUCGUGGCUAACCGGACCAUCUAUCUGUAAGAGAAAUAGUAAACAUUUUGGAAUUAUAACAUGUGUUAAAAUGUAUGUACUAAAUAUUAUGAAUUAAAUCACUGGUUUUAAAAAUGUAUCUCACGAUUUAACGAUAGGGGAAGAGGUAAUUUCAUAUUUCGGCCAACACAUCAAGAGCUAACAGGGGUGAGUGGGGAUUCAUAGUACAACAGGAGGCUUCGGUAACCUGCAAUACGGGUUAAAUAUGUUUUACAUACAUCCACGACUGAAUGGUUUCACAAACUACAUUUAAAGGUUUUGUCAGAAAGCUGUAACAGGCCUCAUUCACCAGUCUAGAGAUGAACCUAGAGACACCAAAAACAUCGCCGCUUAGAGCAGCUUGGAGAUUAUUACCCAUGAAAGGGGGGAGCAAAAGAGUGGAUUUAACCAACUCUGUACAAACCCCGACACGUGGUAUGAUAACUCUGACGCGUACGUCUAAUGAUUAUUGUAGAUGUUUACAACUGAGGGAGUUGACAGUAGGUCAAUGAGAUGUAUAAAGGCAAAUUGACAUAACGGACCUCAAAGACCAACAGCCUACUUUAUAAUAUAGAAUGCAGGGGUGUGUACUGAACAUGUAACCAUUAUAAAACAAAACAUGUCUCGAAACACCUCCUAGUUAGGGACAGAACGCGGAGCAUAUACUUUAACACUAUGUUACCACAGCUUUAGCGCAAACCCACAGCCCCGAAUAUUUAGCUGCCAGGACAGAUUAAAAAAGAGAUGUGAAUAAGUGAAUCCCUCCUAAUAGAUAUUUCUGAAGGCUACUGGACAUAGGUGAUUGGGAAGCGACUGAUAGACGUAGAUUCUCAGAAGCAAUUUAUAGUAUUUCCUACAAUGGUAUGUUAUAAAGUUUGUAAUAAUGUACAACUGUAGGCCUCCAAUGUUUUUACAUAAAAAGACUAAUGAUGCAUGUUUAAAUAAUAGUACAAUUUGUUAAUUAAUUCUAACAUGUCUUUAAAAAGUUAGUACUAUAUAUUUUGGUAUUAAAUCAAUGGUUUUAAAAAAGUAUCUCACCCUUUAACGAAGGGAAAAUGUCCUUUCCAGCCAUCAACCCCGUCUGUCACGAAGAAAAAAGACACAGAAAAUCCGGGUGCAUGCGUGAGUGUGCAGGCCUCCAAUGUUUUUACAUAAAACACGCGUGAUGCAUGUUUAAAUAUUAUUCAAAUGUUGUUACUUAAUUCAAACAUGUCUUAAAGGUUGUACGAAAUAUUUUGGAAUUCAAUAAAAGGAGUUUUAAAAACGGUAUCUCACCCGUAACUAUGUGAAACGGUAUUUCACAUCUUCAGCCAACUCUGUCGCGAAGAAAAAGACAUUGAAAAUCAGGGUGCGUGCAUGAGUGUGCGUGUGACGGAGCAGCAGGAGUGUGUGUGUGUGCGUUUCAAAAAACAAAGGGGUUGUUUGUGUGGGUUCAACAUGGGGUCCCAUCUGUAGAGAAUCGUUUGAAAUUCAAAGUUUGAACUAUCCAGCAUAUGACAUGUCAUGGUAUCGGCCGACCGCCCGGGGUUAAACCUGGAUAUCUAAUCAACGCCCCCCAGGACCCCCCAAACAAAAAGCAUGACAGAACGGCUCUUUGAAUUCACAGCCUUUUGGUCUAAAGCAAACAUACAGUUAGUUGGUUGCAUACAGGCUAUCUCUCGAAACUCAUUCCGUACUUUAACAAGUUAGGGACAGAACGUCUAUUUUUAACACGUUUAGCACGGCUUUAGCGCAAACCCAAAGGCCCGAAUAUUUAACUGCCAGGACAGAUAGCAUAGUCUGUAAAGCCCUCCUAAUGGAUAUUUCUGAAGGCUACUGGACAUAAGUGAUUGGGAAGCGACUGUUAGACGUAGAUUCUCAGAAGCAAACGGCGCCCUGUCCUUUACGUAGCCCUUCACGAUCACACAUUUUUAGGCGUAAGUCCAAAUAAUCACAUACCCAAGAAUAUUUAUAUAUUAAAAAAAGAAAAGUGUGCACUCUGAACGACGUCGUAAGACAACAGGCAGCAGUCCCAGGACAGAUAACAGAGUAUGUGAAGCCCUCCUAAUGGAUAUUUCGGGAGCUGAGUAUGAUGGACAUCGGACACAUAGGGUGACUGGGAUGCAUUAGGGACUCUGAACGAUAUCGGAGGAACCGAUGAAACAGACAGUAUUCGGUCUUUUUGUAUGAACGUUUUUCCAAACACUCCAAGAACAGAGAAUUUAAACGUCCCGACAACAACCCAGGGAACCACCACCCCCACACAACAUAGUCCAGACCCCAACAACAAAAGCACAACGGUGGCCCAAGUGCAUUGCGCAGAAUCACCAGAGGUAUUAAUUCUAGGCAUUUACAUGUAUGUUUUUAAAAAUGAAGACUAUUUAUACAAUGAAACAAUGUUUUUUUAUUCACACUGUGUGUAAACAAUAACUUUUGCCCUCUUAGGGUCUACUUGACCUGCUUAUUGAUUAGAAAGUAUGAUUAGAAACCAAGGCUGUGGAAUAUAUUAGCUCUCACAGGCUAUGAAAAAGACAAAAGCUAGGACAUUGACUCCGGAGUGUUGAACUUAUGCCCACUCUACAACAACCCCGGUUGUUAUAUGACCCCUGAGGAUCAUCUACGAACGUUGGAACAUCUACAACUAUUGAAGAUGCAAAAAGGGGUUUUCAGAAACACAUUUGGUUUACAGAUAUGUAUUAUUCUAAAAAUAAUAUAACAUUAUUAUCAUAAUCUAAAACACUUUAAAGGAUCUCUAAUUCAAACAUGCAAGGAUAUAUAUAUAUAUAUAUGAUACGAUUAACCACUUUAAAACUGUUGCUGCAAUAUCACUUCUCAAUGUGUGUACAUUUCAAGCUUUCAACAACAAUAAACAAACCAGCUCAAUAAUGUUUCUCAGACUUACAAACUGUUGAGUUUUCCUAGUUAGUAAAGAAACAACCACUAAGCCAAAACCCCAAAAGUUGUAAUAUAAUCUGUAUACAAGUCAUUCUAUACAGAAAACAGGUACAUUUUGAUUGAUCAAGAAUUCCCAAUAGGUUUGUGUCACGCCCUGACCAUAGUUUGCUAUGUAUGUUUAUAGGUUUUGUUUGGUAUGGGUGUGAUAUGAGUGGGCAUUCUAUGAUGUAUGUCUAGUUUGUCUUUUUUCAGUGUUUGGCCGGAUAUUUUUUUCAAUCAGAGGCCUGUGUUAGUCGUUGUCUCUGAUUGGGAACCAUAUUUAGGUAGCCUGUGUUGUCAUUGUUGGGUGAUUGUCUAUGUUAGGUGCUUGUGUCAGCACAUUGGGUAUAUAGCGUCACGGUCGUUGUUCAUUUAUUGGCUUGUUCAGUUUACUUUGUGUUUUCGUCAUCCAUUAAAACGAUGCAUUCACACCA